UUUAUCAAAAACAUCGCCUCUUGCAAAAACAACGAAUAAGAGGUCCCGCCUGCCCAGUGACUUAAGGUUUAACGGCUGCGGUAUUUUGACCGUGCAAAGGUAGCGCAAUCACUUGUCUCUUAAAUGGAGACCUGUAUGAAUGGCACCACGAGGGCUUAACUGUCUCCUUUCUUAAACCAAUGAAAUUGAUCUCUCCGUGCAGAAGCGGGGAUAAACCCAUAAGACGAGAAGACCCUAUGGAGCUUUAGACACCAAGAUAGCUUAUGUCAAGAAACCCCUCACAAGGGGCCGAACCCGAUAAGCCCUAUCCUAAUGUCUUCGGUUGGGGCGACCCCGGGAAAAUAAAUAACCCCCGCGAGGAAUGAAAAUAUACUUUCAGAACCAAGAGCCACCGCUCUAAGAAGCAGAACUUCUGACCAACUAGAUCCAGGUAAACUGAUUAACGGACCGAGUUACCCUAGGGAUAACAGCGCAAUCCCCUUAAAGAGACCCUAUCGACAAGGGGGUUUACGACCUCGAUGUUGGAUCAGGACAUCCUAAUGGUGUAGCCGCUGUUAAGGGUUCGUUUGUUCAACGAUUAAAGUCCUACGUGAUCUGAGUUCA
This 603-nucleotide ribosomal RNA is filed under the name Halichoeres hortulanus (checkerboard wrasse). RNAcentral describes it as "partial 16S ribosomal RNA". It matches the Rfam family "Bacterial large subunit ribosomal RNA", at positions 1803 to 2613 of the family's 2925-position model. Lineage: Eukaryota; Metazoa; Chordata; Actinopteri; Labriformes; Labridae. The record is from RNAcentral.